RNAcentral lists this ribosomal RNA (467 nucleotides) under uncultured ciliate. Its description in RNAcentral is "SSU rRNA". It matches the Rfam family "Eukaryotic small subunit ribosomal RNA". Lineage: Eukaryota; Ciliophora. The record is from RNAcentral.
AUUUGUCUGGUUAAUUCCGAUAACGAACGAGACCUUAACCUGCUAACUAGUUCUCAAUACUCUGUAUUCUGCAACUUCUUAGAAGGACUAUGUAAAUCAAUUACAUGGAAGUUUGAGGCAAUAACAGGUCAGUGAUGCCCUUAUAUGUCCUGGGCUGCACGCGUGCUACACUGAUGCAUACAACAAGUGCCUAGCCAGACAUGGUAUGGCAAUCUCGAAUAUGCAUCGUGAUGGGGAUAGAUCUUUGCAAUUAUAGAUCUUGAACGAGGAAUUCCUAGUAAGUGCAAGUCAUCAUCUUGCAUUGACUAUGUCCCUGCCCUUUGUACACACCGCCCGUCGCUCCUACCGAUACCGGGUGAUCCGGUGAACCUUUUGGACUCCGUACGGGGAAAGAUAAGUAAACCAUAUCACCUAGAGGAAGGAGAAGUCGUAACAAGGUUUCCGUAGGUGAACCUGCRGAAGGAUCA